This 497-nucleotide ribosomal RNA is filed under the name uncultured bacterium. RNAcentral describes it as "partial 16S ribosomal RNA". It matches the Rfam family "Bacterial small subunit ribosomal RNA", at positions 28 to 507 of the family's 1533-position model. The record is from RNAcentral.
GAUGAACGCUGGCGGCGUGCCUAAUACAUGCCAGUCGAGCGAACAGAUAAGGAGCUUGCUCCUUUGACGUUAGCGGCGGACGGGUGAGUAACACGUGGGUAACCUACCUAUAAGACUGGGAUAACUUCGGGAAACCGGAGCUAAUACCGGAUAACAUUUGGAACCGCAUGGUUCUAAAGUGAAAGAUGGUUUUGCUAUCACUUAUAGAUGGACCCGCGCCGUAUUAGCUAGUUGGUAAGGUAACGGCUUACCAAGGCAACGAUGCGUAGCCGACCUCAGAGGGAGGUCCGCCAGACUGGAACUGAGACAGGGUCGAGACACCUGGAGGGAGACGCAGUAGGGAAUCUUACGCAAUGGGGGAGAGCCGGACAGAGCAACGCCGGGUGAGGGAUGAAGGGGUUCGGCUCGGAAAACUCUGUUAGUAGUGAAGAACAAAUGUGUAAGUAACUGUGCACGUCUUGACGGUACCGAAUCAGAAAGCCACGGCUAACUACGUG